RNAcentral lists this ribosomal RNA (337 nucleotides) under uncultured Bacillota bacterium. Its description in RNAcentral is "bacterial SSU rRNA". It matches the Rfam family "Bacterial small subunit ribosomal RNA", at positions 28 to 351 of the family's 1533-position model. The record is from RNAcentral. Lineage: Bacteria; Bacillati; Bacillota.
GACGAACGCUGGCGGCGUGCCUAACACAUGCAAGUCGAACGGAGAAAGCAUUUAUGCUUUCUUAGUGGCGAACGGGUGAGUAACGCGUAGACAACCUACCUUCUAGAUGGGGGACAACACUGCGAAAGUGGUGCUAAUACCGAAUGUUGUAUUAAGGGUGCAUAUCCUAAAUACUAAAGGUGGCCUCUAUUUAUAAGCUAUCACUAGAAGAUGGGUCUGCGUCUGAUUAGCUAGUUGGUGAGGUAAUGGCUCACCAAGGCGACGAUCAGUAGCCGGUCUGAGAGGAUGAACGGCCACACUGGGACUGAGACACGGCCCAGACUCCUACGGGAGGCAG